This 343-nucleotide unclassified non-coding RNA is filed under the name soil metagenome. Its description in RNAcentral is "partial contains 5.8S ribosomal RNA, internal transcribed spacer 2, and large subunit ribosomal RNA". The stretch from base 1 to 120 matches the Rfam family "5.8S ribosomal RNA", at positions 35 to 154 of the family's 154-position model. The record is from RNAcentral.
GAUGAAGAACGUAGCGAAAUGCGAUAAGUAAUGUGAAUUGCAGAAUUCAGUGAAUCAUCGAAUCUUUGAACGCACAUUGCGCCCGCCAGCAUUCUGGCGGGCAUGCCUGUUCGAGCGUCAUUUCAACCCUCGAGCCCCCCCGGGGGCCUCGGAGUUGGGGGACGGCACACCAGCCGCCCCCGAAAUGCAGUGGCGACCCCGCCGCAGCCUCCCCUGCGUAGUAGCACACACCUCGCACCGGAGCGCGGAGGCGGUCACGCCGUAAAACGCCCAACUUUCUUAGAGUUGACCUCGGAUCAGGUAGGAAUACCCGCUGAACUUAAGCAUAUCAAUAAGCGGAGGA